UGCGUAGGCGGGUCUUUAAGUCAGGGGUGAAAUCCUGGAGCUCAACUCCAGAACUGCCUUUGAUACUGAGGAUCUUGAGUUCGGGAGAGGUGAGUGGAACUGCGAGUGUAGAGGUGAAAUUCGUAGAUAUUCGCAAGAACACCAGUGGCGAAGGCGGCUCACUGGCCCGAUACUGACGCUGAGGCAAGACUGGGGAGGCGAAACA
This 205-nucleotide ribosomal RNA is filed under the name uncultured bacterium. RNAcentral describes it as "partial 16S ribosomal RNA". It matches the Rfam family "Bacterial small subunit ribosomal RNA", at positions 568 to 774 of the family's 1533-position model. The record is from RNAcentral.